RNAcentral lists this long non-coding RNA (1026 nucleotides) under Felis catus (domestic cat). RNAcentral describes it as "lncRNA (ENSFCAG00000047686.1)". Lineage: Eukaryota; Metazoa; Chordata; Mammalia; Carnivora; Felidae. The record is from RNAcentral.
AUGCCCUCUGACCGUUGCCAGGCCAGGGCAAAGUCGGUGGUCAGGCCGAGCCGUCCCCGACCCCCUGAGGACAGGCCCCAGCACUCCCCACCGUCCCCUGGGGCUGCCCAGGCCACGCCCCAGCUGCCGUCCCACCCCUGUGCUGGCCCGGCCGUGCAGCUGGCACUAGAUGGUAGCUGUGUUCUGUCUACCCCCCCCCCCCACUUCUGUUCCAUUCUCUUCCCGCCCUUUCCCCUCUGCCUGCCAGGCCCUUGGCCCCCAGACGCGUCUCCAGCUUUCCGCCUCUGUUCUCUGACACCAGCUCCUCCCGGGGAACACAGCAGGUGUGGCCCAGCCUCGGUCCCGGAGGGCAGGUCUGGGGGCACAGCCCCUGUGCUGGGGCCUGAGGGUGCUGGUGGGAGCGGCGGCUCAGGAAGGAAGGGUGCUGGCGCUUGUCAGCGGCACUUUGGAGGGACGGCUGGGGGUGAGCGCUUGGAACGGAGACGGGGCGGCAGUUGGCGGUGGCAGCUGGACGGGCGGUUGGGGCUUGGCAGGGGCGCCGGCCCGGAGGACAGCUGGGGUGGGGCAGCCGUGGGGUUGGCAGGUAGCCCCUGGCCCCGAGCGACUCUGGAGGGUGGUCUCGGGGAGGCCCAGCAGGAGAGCAGGGCCAGCUGGCCACAGACGUGGGCGGGGCGGUGCCGUGCUGCAGCCUGGAGCCGCCUCGCCUCGGCCGGUCCACCCGGGGUGACGUGCAGGGGCGGGUCCCGCGGGGCAGCCCCAGCAUCCUUAGGCCCGCCCUGCCCUCAGCCCCUCUGCCUCCCGGUCGGGUCCUGCUUCCAGCAGGGGCUGGGAGAGGGCAGGGGCAGGUUCCGGGCAGCUCCCCGGGAGGGGGCAGGACUCCCAGGGCUGUUGCCAUGGGGAUGGCAGAGCAACACCACCGGUCGGAGAAUAAACAGACAAGUUCUCCGACUGAAGUCAGCUCAGAAAACCCAGCUGGGGGAGCACGGGGGUGGGGACGCUGCCUGGGGGAAGGCGGUGUGGCGGUGA